Long non-coding RNA from Coturnix japonica (Japanese quail), 1902 nucleotides. Lineage: Eukaryota; Metazoa; Chordata; Aves; Galliformes; Phasianidae. The record is from Ensembl.
UUUAAUUUCCUUCCAUUUCCCCUUCAUUUCCUUCCAUUUCCCUUUAAUUUCCUUCUAUUUCCCUUUAAUUUCCUUCCAUUUCCCCUUCAUUUCCUCUCAUUUCUCCUUCCUUUCCAUCUAUUUCCCCUUCAUUUCCUUCCGUUUCCCUUUAAUUUCCUUCCAUUUCCCUUUAAUUUCCUUCCAUUUCCUCUUAAUUUCCUUCCAUUUCCCUUUAAUUUCCUUCCAUUUCCUCCAUCAUUUCCUUCCCUUUUCCCCCAUUUCCUUCCCUUUUCCCCCACUUCCUUCCCUUUUCCCCCAUUUCCUUCCCUUUUCCAUUCAAUUUUCCUCACUUUAUCCCCAUUUCCUUCCUGUUUCCCCUCUAUUUCUUCCCUUUCCCCCCUUUUCCUUCACUUUUCCCCAUUUCCUUCCUUCUCCCCCUCCACUUCCUUCCAUUUUCCAUUCAAUUUUCCUCAUUCUAUCCCCAUUUCCUUCCUGUUUCCCCUCCACUUCCUCCCCUUUCCCCCAUUUCUUUCCUUUUUCCCCCUUUUCCUCCACUUUUUCCAUUUCUUCCCUUUUCCUUUUCACUUUUUCUUCAUUUUCCCCUGAAUUUUCCCCUCCAUUUUCUUCACAUUUUCUCCUUCCCUUACCCCAAAUCUUCACUUUUUCCCUUUUCCCUUCCAAUUUCCUUCACUUCUUCCUCCAUUUCCUUCACUUUUUACCCCAUUUUCCUCCAUUUCACUUCAAUUUUCCCCAUUUCCUUCCCUUUUCCCCUCAGUUUUCCUCACUUUUCCCUCUACUUCCCUCCCAACUUUCAUUUUUCCCCAUUUCCUUCCAUCUUCCCCCCAAAUUUCCUUCUAUUUCCCCUUCCAAUUUUAUUCACUUUUCCCUCAUUUUUGUAACUUUCUCCCAUUUUCCCUCAUUAUUCACUUUUUCCCCAUUUCCCCCAUUAUUCUACAUUUUUUUCUCCUCUUUUCCCCUCCAUUUCCCCUCCAUUUUUCCCCAUUUCCUUCCAUUUCCCCUCGCAAUUUCCUUUUCUUUUCCCCUCAAUUUCAUUCAUAUUUUCCAUUUUCCUUCACUUUUCCCCCUCAAUUUUCCUUCAUUUCCCCCACUUCCUUCCCUUUCUUUCCCCUUUCCCACCCAUUUUCUUCAUUUUCCCCCAUUUCCCCCUCAAAUUUCAUUUCCCCUUCCAAUUUUCUUCACUUUUUUCCCUUUUCCUUCUAUUUUCCCCCAAUUUCCUUCACUUCUCCCCUCCACUUUCGUUCACUUUUCCCUAUUUAUUUCCCCUUUUCCUUCACUUCCCCCCCAUUUCCUUCGCUUUCCCCAUUUCCUUCCAUUUCCCACUCCAAUUUCCUUCACUUUUCCCUUUUUUCUUCACUUCCCCCUUCAUUUUAACUUUUCCUCCCCAUUUUCUUCCCCCUUGUCCCCCCUUUCCUUCCCUUUCCCCCCCAUUUUCUUCCUUUUUUUCCUCUUUUCCUUCCCUAUUUCCCCUUUUCCUUCCCUAUUCCCCCCCUUCCUUCCCUUUUCCACCUAUUUUCUUAACAUUUUUCCCCUUCCCCCCCCCUUUUCUUCCCUAUUUCCCCCCUUUCCCCCCAUUUUUCCCUUUCCCUCUUUUCCUUCACAAUUUCCCCCCUUUUCCUUCACUUUUCCUCCCUUUCCUCCUCCUUUUCCUUCCAUUUUUCCCCCCUUUUACUUCACUUCCCCCCCCUUUUUUCCCCUUUUCCUUCUAUAACCCCCUUUUUCUCCCCCCUUUUUCCUUCACUUCCUCCCCCUUUUCCCUCAUUAUUUCCCCCUUUUCCUUCAGUAUUUCCCCCCUUCCCCCCUUUUUCUUCACAAUUUCCCCUCCUUUUCCUCCCCUUUUCCCCUCCUUUUCCUUAUUUCCCCCUUUUCCCCCAUUAUUUCCCCCAUUAUUUCCCCCCUUUUCCC